This is a small nucleolar RNA of Gadus morhua (Atlantic cod), 136 nucleotides long. Its record names the gene SNORA70. It matches the Rfam family "Small nucleolar RNA SNORA70". Rfam says of the family: snoRNA U70 seems to be exclusive to mammals and is a member of the H/ACA class of snoRNA which contain H (ANANNA) and ACA box motifs. H/ACA box snoRNAs are involved in the conversion of uridines to pseudouridines (5-ribosyluracil) a constituent of structural RNAs (transfer, ribosomal, small nuclear, and small nucleolar). NCBI's taxonomy places the organism in Eukaryota, Metazoa, Chordata, Actinopteri, Gadiformes, Gadidae. The record is from Ensembl.
UUGCAGUCUAUUAAGCCGACCGGUUCUGCUGCCAGUGCUUUACCGGUGUGCAAAGGCUGCAUACAGCGACUCAUUGGUUUGUGUAUGUACUCAGCUGGGCAGUGCUGAGAGCUUUAAAGGGACCAUUGAGACAAAG